GCCUUGCUUUGCUGGAGAAGCGUUGGUAACAUGGACAUUCGAUGAAAACAUAUCGGAUCUAGGGGAGAGAAAAUGUGUAUAAAUAACGACACAUUUGGUGUUCAUUUUCACUUUAGGGAUCCGCCGUUCCAGCGACGCUUCAAAAUGAGAACCUUCACCGCCACAGUCCUGGUUGCAGCCGCCUGCUUCUUGGUUUUUUCAGAUGCCCAGACAACUGUUAAGCCAACCACUAGCACAAAGCCAACCACUACCACCACUAAGCCGACUACUACCACGAAGGCAACCACCACCACGAAGCCAACCACCACCACGAAGCCAACUACUACUACGAAGCCAACUACUACUACGAAGCCAACCACCACCACGAAGCCAACCACUACUACGAAGCCAACCACUACCACGAAGCCAACCACCACCACGAAGCCAACUACUACCAGCACUAAACCGACUACUACUACCACGAAGCCAACCACUACUACAAAACCAGCAACAACUACGAAGCCAGCGACUACUUUGAAGCCAACCUCGCCUGGAUCAACUCUUACUCCUUCUCUUGGUACCAAUUAUUGCAACAUUAGUACAUGCACCGUGCCGACCAAUAGGCCUAACACGCUCUGCCUUUAUUCGAACACUAGUUGGGGAUCGGCUUGCCAACCGGCCUAUCCAGCAACAUCGAACGUCAGCGCUGCAGAUGUCGUCACCAUUUUGACAGCUCACAACGAUUUCCGACGUAAAGUUGCGAAGGGACUUGAGACUCAAGGAAGUCCAGGUCCGCAACCUCCCGCAUCCAACAUGAGAGAGUUGAAAUGGGAUCAGGAACUUGCUGUCAUGGCUGCAGCCCACGCCCAACAGUGUGUAUACAAACACGACACUUGCAGAGACGUUCCUCGUUUUCAAGUGGGUCAGAAUUUGCACAUUGGCGGGUCUUCCGCCGACACCCUUGGCACUUCAGACUGGACUGCAGCAGUAACCGAUUGGUACAAUGAAGUAAAAGACAUGAACACCACUUAUGUCACGAGCUUUCCAUCAAGCUCACCAAAGGAUAUUGGACACUACACGCAAGCAGUAUGGGCGGAUACUUCACUUGUUGGCUGUGCAGUUGCUUACUUCAAAACUACCACAGGCGUUUUUGGACCAUCGUUUCCCUAUAAUAGAAUGUACGUGUGCAACUACGGACCGACUGGCAAUUGGAUCGGCUCUGCUGUUUAUAAGCAAGGAACAGCCGGUUCCGCCUGUCCCGCAGGUACUAUGAACAGCAACGGCUUGUGUGUGACUACUCUUCAGCCAGCAACUGUCGCGACAACCCUCAAUCCCGUUACGACUACUCUUAAACCCGCCAGCGUAUCUACACUGAAGCCAACCUCGCCUGGAUCAACUCUUACUCCUUCUCUUGGUACCAAUUACUGCAACAUUAGUACAUGCACCGUGCCAACCGAUAACACGCUCUGCAAAUAUUCGAACACUAGUUGGGGACCGGCUUGCCAACCGGCCUAUCCAGCAAGAUCGAACGUCAGCGCUGCAGAUGUCGUCACCAUUUUGGGAGCGCACAACGAUUACCGACGUAAAGUUGCGAAGGGACUUGAGACCCAAGGAAGUCCAGGUCCUCAACCCCCUACGUCCAACAUGAGAGAGUUGAAAUGGGAUCAGGAACUCGCUGUCAUGGCUGCAGCCCACGCCCAACAGUGUGUGUACAAACACGACACUUGCAGAAACGUUCCUCGUUUCAGGGUGGGUCAGAAUGUUUACAUUGCCGGGUCUUCCGGCGACAUUCUCGGCACUUCAAACUGGAAUGCGGCAGUAACCUCUUGGUACAAUGAAGUUCAAUACAUAUGACCACCGCUGCUGUCACGAGCUUACCAGAAAGCUCACCGAAUGUUAUUUAUCAUUACACGCAAGUAGUGUGGGCGGAAACUUAUGUCAUCGGUUGCGCAGUGGCCUACUUCCAAUCUACUGCCACUUUUGGAACAGCGUAUCCCUACAAUAGAUUCUACGUUUGCAACU
This 2001-nucleotide unclassified non-coding RNA is filed under the name Daphnia pulicaria. Its description in RNAcentral is "ancylostoma secreted protein-like, transcript variant X2". The record is from RNAcentral. Lineage: Eukaryota; Metazoa; Arthropoda; Branchiopoda; Diplostraca; Daphniidae.